AGUAGCCAGGUAAAUGGCUAAUUUUUUGCAAUUUCCAUAUUUUUCUGGGUCAUGUUUUCUCCAAAAUUCUUGGCAGAUGCAGUUUUAUACAUUUGCAAGGAAAUGUCUUCCUGCAAGUCUAUUAUCUCUAUUUGGAAUAAAGGCUUUGAAAGGUGAAACAACUUUGCAGCCUCAUCUGUCCAUUUUCCCGCUGGAGAAACUUCAAAAGGCGAUUUUAAGAAUUGCGACUACUUCUCUAUCUCUGCAAAUCUUGGAAUCUUGCUGCAAAUUCCUUCUUAAGAUCUGAUAUAAAAUUUGAAAAUACUGCACUGCCU
RNAcentral lists this long non-coding RNA (314 nucleotides) under Androctonus crassicauda. Lineage: Eukaryota; Metazoa; Arthropoda; Arachnida; Scorpiones; Buthidae. The record is from RNAcentral.